Molecule: ribosomal RNA, 384 nt
Filed under: Salmonella enterica
Lineage: Bacteria; Pseudomonadati; Pseudomonadota; Gammaproteobacteria; Enterobacterales; Enterobacteriaceae
Also listed under: 1 other name
Description: partial 23S ribosomal RNA
Rfam family: Bacterial large subunit ribosomal RNA
Source: RNAcentral
GGUUAAGCGACUAAGCGUACACGGUGGAUGCCCUGGCAGUCAGAGGCGAUGAAGGGCGUGCUAAUCUGCGAUAAGCGCCGGUAAGGUGAUAUGAACCGUUAUAACCGGCGAUACCCGAAUGGGGAAACCCAGUGUGACUCGUCACACUAUCAUUAACUGAAUCCAUAGGUUAAUGAGGCGAACCGGGGGAACUGAAACAUCUAAGUACCCCGAGGAAAAGAAAUCAACCGAGAUUCCCCCAGUAGCGGCGAGCGAACGGGGAGGAGCCCAGAGCCUGAAUCAGCAUGUGUGUUAGUGGAAGCGUCUGGAAAGGCGCGCGAUACAGGGUGACAGCCCCGUACACAAAAGCGCAUGUGCUGUGAGCUCGAUGAGUAGGGCGGGACA